RNAcentral lists this ribosomal RNA (329 nucleotides) under uncultured bacterium. RNAcentral's name for it is "bacterial SSU rRNA". It matches the Rfam family "Bacterial small subunit ribosomal RNA", at positions 143 to 471 of the family's 1533-position model. The record is from RNAcentral.
AUAACUAGCUGAAAGGUUAGCUAAUGCCGCAUACGACCUACGGGUGAAAGCAGGGGAUCUUCGGACCUUGCGUUAUUAGAGCGGCCGAUAUCUGAUUAGCUUGUUGGUGGGGUAAUGGCCUACCAAGGCGACGAUCAGUAGCUGGUCUGAGAGGACGAUCAGCCACACUGGAACUGAGACACGGUCCAGACUCCUACGGGAGGCAGCAGUGGGGAAUUUUGGACAAUGGGGGCAACCCUGAUCCAGCCAUUCCGCGUGAGUGAAGAAGGCCUUCGGGUUGUAAAGCUCUUUCGCAAGAGAAGAAAACUUGCUAUCUAAUAUAUAGUAAG